This 1617-nucleotide ribosomal RNA is filed under the name Triticum aestivum (bread wheat). Its description in RNAcentral is "partial small subunit ribosomal RNA". The record is from RNAcentral. Lineage: Eukaryota; Viridiplantae; Streptophyta; Magnoliopsida; Poales; Poaceae.
CCGAUCGCACGCCCGAUCCAACCUCCUCCGCCGCCAUCUGGUUCCCCUCCGCUCCCAUCUGCUGCCUCUACCGAGAUCCGAGGCCUUCGACUUGUGGGCUGCCACCGCCGCCGCUGAACCCGGGGCAAGGCAGGGCGUGGCCGCAUUGUGGGCAACGAGGAGCGGCGCACGGGCGUGCCCUGCAUCGAGGAGGAGCUCAGGUACUUUCAAAUCGAGGAGGAACACCGCUGUCUAGCUACAUGGUGGCCGCUCCCCUCGACCCCCUCCAUCGCCUCCGCCGCCGCCGCCGAGGUACGGGAUCGCUGCCGAGCCGAGGUACGAGAUCGCCUCCAUCGCGUUCCUUCCCUGGCCACGCCCCUCCCAAUUUCUUCCCCUCACCCAGCUAGGGUUCUCACCCGCCGCCGCUCCCCUGCUGCUACCCGGCACCCGAUGCCCUCCACGGACACCACCACCAUGAUGUCGGAAGGAAGAGCAAGAGGGGUCGUCGAGGCUGGGUGCCGCCGUGAGGAUGCUGGCGCCCGUGCGCGGUGAUGGCAUUGUGGCGGAAGAAGGUCUUCUUCCUGGGGAGCCGCGCGCUGGCCGCCGUCUCCACCUGCGGCCACGCCAACCAGACAGAUACGCCGCCGCGCCAUCGACAUAUUCCCUACUCCCGUGCACGUAUGGUCAAGCAUGUAGCGCUUAUCUUGCCCCAUGCGGCCUUGGCAGAUCUCAAUGCUUGCUUGCUAAUGUGCGUGUGUGGAUGUUGCUGGUUGCUGCUGCUGUGCACGUGUGCUUGGUGUGCCCCUGCUGUUUUGUGUUCUCACCACCACAUCCACGACAAAUAAAAUUUCUCCCCGCCUCUCUCCCAACUCACGAGCAGUCUUAUCGAGGCAACGCGACACCGACCAGCCGGCCACAGACGGUGGCAGUGUUCAUCCCUGAAUGUCAAGUUGGCGCAGGUGUACAGCGGAGGUAUAUAUGUGAUAAGGUGAUGUGAUCAUUAGAAAAACCAGAGAAGGGAGAGAUGUGUGGGAGCUCGAGGGCGAGAGGAAGACGGAGACGGCACGGGGCAGCGUCCUGCAGGUGGGGAGAGCUGGAGGCAUGCUGGCCCAGGCAUGGUCAACACGAGGCGAUCGAGCUGCUCUGCUCGUUACUGAAGAACAGAGGCAGCAGCAGGUUCGUGGCGAUGUAACGGCGACACAAGAGGUUCUGGAGACAGGGCGGCCGGUACCGGCUGGAACGGGGUGGAUCCAGUCGGCCGGCGUCGGUUCCGGGCAACGGCGGCGGUGGACAGAGCUCGGGCGCGUAGCUCAGCCAUCCAUGGCGUACUGCCGAUGGUGCACAGAGAGAGAUGUUAGAGAGAGGGGAAAACUCAGGCUUCAAUCCAAUCUAUCCCUGUACGGUCGAAGGGGGUUGUUUGAGCCCAACGUUAGUGUUAAAAAUCACCUCAUCUCCACUGGCGAACCCAGCCGCAACGCAUCCUUCACAUCACUGAUGGUGUAUCAUUCUCCAGUGUCUCAACAUAGUCUGCCUUUUAGUUAUCCAACGUCGAUGUUAUAUCAUUCAAACUCAAAGUUCAGCUUGCAAGCUCUUAUGUUAUUAUCUAACCAGUGUUUUGUUUCAAAUGCUUUGUCUUAA